AUACGGAGGGGGCAAGCGUUGUUCGGAAUCACUGGGCGUAAAGAGCACGUAGGCGGUCGGGUCAGUCGGACGUGAAAGCCCAGGGCUCAACCCUGGAAGUGCGUUCGAUACUACCUGACUUGAGUACGGGAGAGGAGAGUGGAAUUCCCAGUGUAGCGGUGAAAUGCGUAGAUAUUGGGAGGAACACCGGUGGCGAAGGCGGCUCUCUGGACCGUCACUGACGCUGAGGUGCGAAAGCUAGGGGAGCAAACGGGAUUAGAUACCCCAGUAGUCC
RNAcentral lists this ribosomal RNA (274 nucleotides) under uncultured bacterium. RNAcentral's name for it is "partial 16S ribosomal RNA". It matches the Rfam family "Bacterial small subunit ribosomal RNA", at positions 523 to 796 of the family's 1533-position model. The record is from RNAcentral.